Molecule: ribosomal RNA, 569 nt
Filed under: uncultured Gammaproteobacteria bacterium
Lineage: Bacteria; Pseudomonadati; Pseudomonadota; Gammaproteobacteria
Description: bacterial SSU rRNA
Rfam family: Bacterial small subunit ribosomal RNA
Source: RNAcentral
UCGAUUUGGAGUUUGUUGCCCUGAGUGAUGGGCUCCGAAGCUAACGCGAUAAAUCGACCGCCUGGGGAGUACGGCCGCAAGGUUAAAACUCAAAUGAAUUGACGGGGGCCCGCACAAGCGGUGGAGCAUGUGGUUUAAUUCGAUGCAACGCGAAGAACCUUACCUGGUCUUGACAUCCACAGAAACUUGCAGAGAUGCGAGGGUGCCUUCGGGAACUGUGAGACAGGUGCUGCAUGGCUGUCGUCAGCUCGUGUUGUGAAAUGUUGGGUUAAGUCCCGCAACGAGCGCAACCCUUAUCCUUUGUUGCCAUUGGUUCGGCCGGGAACUCAAAGGAGACUGCCGUUGAUAAAGCGGAGGAAGGUGGGGACGACGUCAAGUCAUCAUGGCCCUUACGACCAGGGCUACACACGUGCUACAAUGGCGUAUACAAAGGGAGGCGACCUCGCGAGAGCAAGCGGACCUCAUAAAGUACGUCUAAGUCCGGAUUGGAGUCUGCAACUCGACUCCAUGAAGUCGGAAUCGCUAGUAAUCGUGAAUCAGAAUGUCACGGUGAAUACGUUCCCGGGCCU